This is a long non-coding RNA of Vespa mandarinia (Asian giant hornet), 1767 nucleotides long. NCBI's taxonomy places the organism in Eukaryota, Metazoa, Arthropoda, Insecta, Hymenoptera, Vespidae. The record is from RefSeq and is a predicted model, not a curated record.
CAUCGACCGAUAACGAUUGCAUUUUUCCUUGCUUUAUUGGAAUGCCGCUCUCCGCAACAGGAACUGUAACGUUAUAAUAAAACAUCCGUGUGCAUCCUAAGAUAUUGACUCAAUAUGUACUGACUACUUUGUGCCAAGAUCGGCGGGAUAUAUAGCUUUGACAGCGGACUGUGACAUUAUUCGACACGCGCUACGGAUAACAAUUCUAACAUAACAAAAUUAAACUGACACCGAUUAUCGAUAGUAAGUUGGUUUAUUACAUACCCGUCGCUAUAACCAGGAUUUAUUAGUUCGUUGUCAUCCAAAUUAUCUCAUAAGUUCGAUGAAUGUUUUGAACAAAAGUUGUAACGUUUUAUUCGAAAAUUUUUACCACGCAAAAUAUAAUAACACUCAUAAUUCGUAACCGGCCACCGCAAGUGUACAUUUAUAUUUUAACAUGCAACACGGUUCGUAUACACAAUGUGUGUCACAAAUGAAAUAAAUUGCCGUAAUUACUCGUAACAAUGAACAACCGUGAAAUAACGUGCAUCCUAAACAGCUCGAGAGUGAGAGAGAGCAGGAAGCCCGACGUAAAUAGUUUAAUCAUUGACUACCGGAAUAGUAGAGCGAAUACUACAUUUAAAAUACGUUUGAUCUCGACUACUAACUCGGUCGAUAAUUCCACUUUCUUCUGAUACAUUAUACGGCCGAUAGGAGGUGAGAAUUAUAUCACCGAUAAAAACAUGAUUCGUCGGAGAUCUAUUUGCAAUAAAAAAAGAAAAAAGUAAAAAAAAAAGACAUUACGAUCGGUGGUUGUCUAAAUUGUGUUCUUGUGAUUUUCUUUUUCUUUUUUUUUUUUUUUUUUUUUUAAUUUAAAAAUAUAUAGCUCUUAGAAAAAACUACAGUUUGUAUUUGUGAUAUGUAUUAUUAUAAUUAUAAUGAAAAAUGGUCAUGUUAAUUUUAUGAAAUAAAUGUUAUCGUGUAUGAAUAUUAGAACUGUUAUAUCAAUAUUCUAAUUCGCUUUAAAUUCAAUGAAUAAUUGUUAAGAAUGAAUUGUUACGAAAGAGCGAAUAAUAUAAUGCAAAUUCGAAAGAUGCGCUGACCUGGUGCAAUGAUAGGCGAUAUUGAAAAUUAUUCGUUUUAAUUAAUUUCAGUAGCUUUACUCGGAUAUGUACUGGAAUCAUCGUCUUCGUCAAUCUUUCUGAGUCGUUGGAGUUCUAAAGUACGUGUUCUGAAAAAUCCAUUAACAUGGAAUGACGAUAAUUUUUUAAAAAUUUGAUUACGUAGAUUUCAAAAAUAUAUUUAUAUACCUUCCAAAUGACUCAUCUCGCUCUCGUUCUUCUUUGCGUUGCCUAAGAACUCUUGAUGCAACGCAAAUUAUUAUGAGUACAAUGGGAAUUAUACUAGCAAGUACUAUACCAGUUGUGAUACCAGCUUGUCGGGAACUGUAUUCCUGUUGACCUAUAUGGUGGAAAAAAAAAGAAAAAGAAAAAAAAAAAGAAACAUUUACUUUAUAUUACUCUUCGUGACCAGCCCAAUUUCAAAUAGAAGUUAACUUUGACGAAAAGACCUGAAAUAAAGAAGUUAGAGAAAGAACAGGAUCGAGGAUAAGGGAAAGUUUGCAAAGACUUUGGUGGAAACUUCCAUUCCACUUGGAAUUGUUUAAAAGAUAGUAAGAUGUUACAAUAUAGAUAUAUAAGAGAAGGAGAUUUAGCGACGCACUGAAAUUUGUUAUGAUAUUGAAAAACUAUGGAAAAAAAAUGAACAAAGAGAAUAUUAUGAAAUGGA